This is a long non-coding RNA of Juglans microcarpa x Juglans regia, 706 nucleotides long. RefSeq lists it as uncharacterized. The transcript is spliced from 2 exons. The record is from RefSeq and is a predicted model, not a curated record. NCBI's taxonomy places the organism in Eukaryota, Viridiplantae, Streptophyta, Magnoliopsida, Fagales, Juglandaceae.
GUUCAUUAUUAGUAUGAUUUGCUUAUGUUGUUAUGUGUGUUCUAUUAAGCCUCGUCGUUUCCGGGAUUGUUUUGAAGCGACUUUAGUGAAUUUGUCUCUAUUCAUUGAGUGUUGGGCGUGUUGAUUAUUUGAUGACUAGUUAUUUAAUUACUAUUUCUCGAGUAUGUUCUGGACUUGAUCUGAUUUUGGUAAUGUGCUUGCGUUUCGGUCUGUAGAAGUUGAUUCUCUUUAAACAGUUUGCUUGUCACUUCGUUUUCAAGUUUUUUUAAAUGGAUAUUUCUUGUUAGAUUCGUUUUUGUUUUUAAGAUUGUGCUUCUGCAAAUGAUAUCUCUGGUAACUACCUAUAAAAAAUGAUAUCACUGGGAAUUAAGCUUCUACAGUUGGUUAUUAUUACAAAGUUUAUUUGGCAUACUUUAGGGUUGGAGUCCGUGAUCAGGUCAAUCUAAAUAUACAUUCUCUAUGGAUCUUCAUUCUAGGUGAGGACCUUUAGCCGCUCAUGUUAAUGCGCUCAUGAAGUUAGGUGAUGCUGUGCAUGAAUAGAUUUUAUUAAUCUCCCAAAAGUCAUAGUGCAAAUUAUACAGUGUUGCAGCUAUGAAUGAGAUUGUAAUUUGCACUAUGAGUUUUUGUAAGUAAAUGUAUAAUCCUAUGACUCUCAACCUCAACUAUUUUUUAAUAAGAAAGAAUAUUGUGAGCUGUUUUCACUAUA